CAAGAAAUGGCUUCUCAAAAGCAAUUAAAAAUAUGAAAUGAAUGUAGAAUGUUUGGAAGCUUGUAUAUGAUGUUUGCUCAGAUUGUUGUGUGUCAAAUGAGAGUUUUUGGGGUGUAUUUAUAGCCCCAAAAACUCUUGUAUCCGUUGCUAAAUGAUUAAAUAAUUUAUCAAAAAUCUGCAACGAUAAUCGAUUAUCGCAGGACGAUAAUCGAUUAACCUUUCAAAAAUAUAGACGUUGAAAGGCAACGGAUACUAAGAUAAUCAAUUAACUUAUGUCAGAUAAUCGAUUAUUUUAACGAUAAUCGAUUAUCGCACUUAGAUAAUUGAUUUGAAAAACUAGACGUUGAGAAAUAACGGAUAAACGAUAAUCGUUUAUCGUUGGUAAGAUAAUCGAUUAUCUCACCUUGCGUAAAAACGUCCAGUUUAAUGAAAUAUUAGAUAAUCGAUUAUCUCCUCACGAUAAUCGAUUAACUCAGUAGAAAAAUGAUUUCAAGACGUUUUUCAUUGUUUAUUUAAAUACCAAAAAUAUAAUAUAUGUCUUAAAUAUUAAAGACACUUUUAAAAACCUUUUUGNNNN
Molecule: long non-coding RNA, 577 nt
Filed under: Nicotiana benthamiana
Lineage: Eukaryota; Viridiplantae; Streptophyta; Magnoliopsida; Solanales; Solanaceae
Description: long non-coding RNA (NBEN_LNC018236)
Source: RNAcentral